This 432-nucleotide ribosomal RNA is filed under the name Triticum aestivum (bread wheat). RNAcentral's name for it is "partial small subunit ribosomal RNA". Lineage: Eukaryota; Viridiplantae; Streptophyta; Magnoliopsida; Poales; Poaceae. The record is from RNAcentral.
AUGCCAUCAAUCACCAUGUUGGUAUCCUGUUUGCAUGUGAAUGUCAACAUGGCAGAGGAAAAUAACUCGCAUGGCCACUAUCUAUCACACAAGGAUAUCCUUUUAUCCGAGUAUGAACCAGGGAAGUGCUCCAUCACAUUUAUGCUUCAUCAUGGACGGCCCAAACUGAAGCUUUCUUCAUACAUGAGACGGAUAUUUCCUUCUAUAACUUCUCCAUAUCAUCUUUCCCCAAAAAAUAAGGUUAGUUUCUUAGUGAAGAGUCACUGUCUCAUAUGCAUACUACAGAUAAAUGUGGCGCCAGUUUGCCUUGAAAGUAUCACCUUCAUCUUUUCUGAAUUAGUCCUGGCUCUGGCCGCCGAACAUUUGCAUUAUCAUGCUGUGAGGCGUAAACCUGGAAAUGCUGGUGUUUGUUGUUCUUCAGGCAUAGUUUAA